This 251-nucleotide ribosomal RNA is filed under the name uncultured prokaryote. RNAcentral describes it as "partial 16S rRNA". It matches the Rfam family "Bacterial small subunit ribosomal RNA", at positions 525 to 775 of the family's 1533-position model. The record is from RNAcentral.
ACGUAGGAGGCGAGCGUUAUCCGGAUUUACUGGGCGUAAAGCGUGUGUAGGCGGUUUUGUAAGUUGGAUGUGAAAGCUCCUGGCUUAACUGGGAGAGGCCGUUCAAAACUAUCAGACUUGAGAGUGGUAGAGGGAGGUGGAAUUUCGCAUGUAGUGGCGCAAUGCGUAGAUAUGCGGAGGAACACCAGUGGCGAAAGCUGCCUGCUGGCCUAUUUUUGACUCUCAGGCACAAAAGCUAAGGGAGCAAACAG